RNAcentral lists this unclassified non-coding RNA (240 nucleotides) under air metagenome. RNAcentral's name for it is "partial contains small subunit ribosomal RNA, internal transcribed spacer 1, and 5.8S ribosomal RNA". The stretch from base 1 to 46 matches the Rfam family "Eukaryotic small subunit ribosomal RNA", at positions 1786 to 1831 of the family's 1831-position model. The record is from RNAcentral.
AAGUCGUAACAAGGUCUCCGUAGGUGAACCUGCGGAGGGAUCAUUACAGAGUUGCAAAACUCCCUAAACCCAUGUGAAUUUACCUGAAAUUUGUUGCUCUGGCAGGCGGCCCCAGGGCGGGGCCUGACGUCUCCUAGCGAGGCGGCCUGCCAGAGGACCGAAGACUCUGUCACGUUUGGUAUUACUCUGAGUUAAAAACAUAAUCAGUCAAAACCUUCAACAACGGAUCUCUUGGUUCUG